GUGCUAACUUUGGCAUCACAUAUACUAAAAUUGGAAUGAUACAGAGAAGAUGAGCAUGACCCCUGUGCAAGGAUGAUACGCAAAUUCCAUAUAUAUUUUUUUAAGUUUU
Small nuclear RNA from Lontra canadensis (Northern American river otter), 109 nucleotides. The record is from RefSeq and is a predicted model, not a curated record. NCBI's taxonomy places the organism in Eukaryota, Metazoa, Chordata, Mammalia, Carnivora, Mustelidae.